CCUAACACAUGCAAGUCGAGCGGUAACAGAAAGUAGCUUGCUACUUUGCUGACGAGCGGCGGACGGGUGAGUAAUGCUUGGGAACAUGCCUUGAGGUGGGGGACAACAGUUGGAAACGACUGCUAAUACCGCAUAAUGUCUACGGACCAAAGGGGGCUUCGGCUCUCGCCUUUAGAUUGGCCCAAGUGGGAUUAGCUAGUUGGUGAGGUAAUGGCUCACCAAGGCAACGAUCCCUAGCUGGUUUGAGAGGAUGAUCAGCCACACUGGAACUGAGACACGGUCCAGACUCCUACGGGAGGCAGCAGUGGGGAAUAUUGCACAAUGGGCGAAAGCCUGAUGCAGCCAUGCCGCGUGUGUGAAGAAGGCCUUCGGGUUGUAAAGCACUUUCAGUCAGGAGGAAAGGGUGUGAGUUAAUACCUCACAUCUGUGACGUUACUGACAGAAGAAGCACCGGCUAACUCCGUGCCAGCAGCCGCGGUAAUACAGAGGGUGCGAGCGUUAAUCGGAAUUACUGGGCGUAAAGCGUACGCAGGCGGUUUGUU
Molecule: ribosomal RNA, 542 nt
Filed under: uncultured bacterium
Lineage: Bacteria
Description: bacterial SSU rRNA
Rfam family: Bacterial small subunit ribosomal RNA
Source: RNAcentral